This 73-nucleotide transfer RNA is filed under the name Brevundimonas phage vB_BgoS-Bajun. RNAcentral's name for it is "tRNA-His". The record is from RNAcentral. Lineage: Duplodnaviria; Heunggongvirae; Uroviricota; Caudoviricetes.
GCUGUCAGGCGCUUGGUGCGCAGGCUGGGUUGUGUCCCCGGUCGGUUGGGUUCGAAACCUAAUGACAGUGCCA